Molecule: microRNA precursor, 59 nt
Filed under: Taeniopygia guttata (zebra finch)
Lineage: Eukaryota; Metazoa; Chordata; Aves; Passeriformes; Estrildidae
Description: Tgu-Mir-139_pre stem-loop
Rfam family: mir-139 microRNA precursor family
Source: RNAcentral
UCUACAGUGCAUGUGUCUCCAGUGUGAGUAAGUGACUGGAGAUGCGGCCCUGUUGGAAU